UGGAAUGGCGACGUAGUGGACCCGUACAGCAGAUGUUUUUCGAUCACGCUUUGUAUUUAGUCAAGAGCUUCAAAUAUUUUCCUGUAAUCUCGACUAAAUGACACGGAAUUUCACGAUCACACAGUACGUCUUGUCUCCGUGGUAUUUAUGCCAUGACCCUGAUCAUUCCGCCGAUAACUCAUAAAGAUCCUAACUUUAUAAUGGAAACACAAUUACUGGAUGAUUCGCCCUUUCUCUAUGAAUGGAAAACAGCAGAACAAGACUUAGAAUUUUUGGAUUACGCUUAUUGUUUCGAAGAUAAUCAAAACAAACGUAAGGCGUCCAAGACAUCAACAACGCUAUCUUUAUCAAACGCCGAUGGUAAUAUAAACUCCGAUGAGAAACAGACAAUUUUAAAUUUAUCACUUGACAAACUUAAACGUAUCGAAGACCCAGAAACCUGUCUAUGUAGAACGGUAUUGAUAAGUAAUACGAUCAAACGUUUACGAAGUCCAAACGAACUUAGGUUUUUGAACAAAGACGGGCCAUCCAGCUGCUGUUUUGCAGGCACUCUACCGUGCAAGAGACCACGCUUGCAAGUCGCGGAUCUACUCAACUCAAACCAUUUAAAAAGCGAUUACACAGACAUAGGGUUAAUUACCAAGCAAGAUACAACGAAAGAAAUGUUACGCAAUCAGAGAAUAAACCCUGCUGACAACCAAUUCCACCUUCCGUCUAAUCGUGCCACAGCCGAUGAGACAAAACGAAAUUGCGAUCUGGUGAAGUUUAAUGGGAUUGAGCUGCCGAAUGUGAUCUGCGCGCUGGAGACAUAAGGGAAAAGCAAAUUUUGUAAAUGUCAAAAGAUUAGUUCUUAAACCGCAAACCAAUUUUUCCUCUGUUUGUUGACAUUUUGUACAAAGACAAGUACAGAAAGGAUGCAUACAAUUAUGUUUGAGGUGUUCCUAACGCCGCCCACAGAUUUGAAAUACCGAAUACCGAUCAAUACAAUAUUGGUUAUUGGUGCAAUAUCAUUAAUAAAUUCCCGUUUUCAAGUUAAAUACUAUAGAUUCAGCGAUCUAGUGUAAGACAAAUCGGGAAUGAGAGUGUUUUAGCCAAGGAAUUUGGCUCUGUAUUGAAGUUGACCCUUUCACUUUCACUAUGAACUGAAGAUGGCCAUGAAAUAACAAACAAAUAUAAUUAUGUGACUAGCUCUUGCAUGCAGUGAAGUGUGAAGUGCACAUCAACCCAGGCGGCCUGUAGCUUGAGAAUUCCUCGCCGUAUUCAGAAGAUAACACCUUUUCAAGUAAUCCAUUGAAGAUAGUUUACGUGAUCGUGCUAUUUUCUGAUGUUCCUAAGAAGAGCAAUGGGGAGAAUGAUUAUUGCACAAUAAUCUCUGACUAAAUUUGUCCUGUGAUACGACAAUGAAUACUGAGGAACAACACUUAACAAUAUCUGAAAUGACAUUUCCAAGUAUGAUUUAUCCGCUAUCAAGUGGGUGAAAAAAUUGACAAUCAAGCUAACGGCUCGCCCAUAGUUACUACAGUUGGAAUAUCAUCUCAUGCGAAUGAAAAAUCCUGAACUAACAUCCACAUUUUCACAAAUCUCACGAAGAUGAGAAGAAGAGAAGUGAAAGAGAGCAUAGCAUGCACCCAUGUUUCACUGCAUUCAAUAUUAUAUCAACCUCAUCUGUUUCCUUGUUGCAUUUUAUAUGCAUUGAUGCAUGUUUCUGCAAUUCCAUGACUUGGUUUGAGGACGUAUUUAUAAUGAUGAUAACUUAUUCAUAUUAGGUUCACUGCAUGUUGGCUAAGAGUCCAAAACGGACGGUGAGGCUGAAUUUCGAGAUAAGAGAUUAAGAAUUUGAGAAAAGGUCAAUGGUUCAAUUGCCUUACAAGGUAGCAACAUAUGAUAUCAGACGACUGAAUGUGCAAAUUUCCCACACCAGAGGGAGAUUAAAGACGCACAAACUAGAAAACAAUUGGAUGUUCAGCGGUUAGAGGUCAUCGCUUGCGACGAACAUUAUCAAAUAUUACAAAAAGACUCUUGAAGGAAAAAUUCUCUCCUCAGACUCAUUAAACAAGACUCUCGGCUAGAAGCAUUAUCUAUACCCGCAUCUUAAAUAAAAAUAUGUCCAGUUUUUCGAGCAGCCUCUUGGAAGUCUAAGAGGAUUUCCCCCCUCUUGGCAUUAGUGUUUUAAAAUUACAAUAAACCUUUUGAGAUUGAAGUAUUUUCAAACUCUGCUGUUGUGUGUUAACUGAAGUUUCGCCGUUGACUGUUAUCAAAGUACCAAUCGUUUUUUUUAAAUGAACUGUUAGUGUUACUGAGUUUCGAAGUCAAGGCAAAUUGUACAUCAAAAUUGAAAUAUAAGCAAGCUACUUAUCUGUCGAAAACGUGAAAAAUAUUAAAAAAAAACGUUAAAAGAUGUCCUUAAGAGCAUGUGUGAUGGAAUUGUAGUUUUAGCUGAUAGUAUAAAAAACAAACGUGAUUUGAUGCACACAGUGCUACUCUUGCAGUCAGACGUGAUGGCCAACAUUUCCUCGUUCCAACUCACCAAACAGAGCAUGGGUGAAACCCAACUAUAUUAUUGUUUCAUUAUUUUAAGUUAACAUUCGUUAUUUAGGCGUUUCUCGAUGUAAAAAACACUAUAGUCUACUAUGAAAUUCAGGAUUUUGCACAGUCGUUAUCUUGCGCGUACGUAUUAGCUACAAGGUAGAAUGUGUUGUUAUUAAACAUACUUGUGUGUGUAUUAUACCAUUAAUAUAUU
RNAcentral lists this long non-coding RNA (2740 nucleotides) under Dendronephthya gigantea. Its description in RNAcentral is "uncharacterized LOC114532515". The record is from RNAcentral. Lineage: Eukaryota; Metazoa; Cnidaria; Anthozoa; Malacalcyonacea; Nephtheidae.